This 166-nucleotide non-coding RNA is filed under the name bovine gut metagenome. RNAcentral describes it as "Lysine riboswitch". It matches the Rfam family "Lysine riboswitch aptamer". Rfam says of the family: Riboswitches are metabolite binding domains within certain messenger RNAs that serve as precision sensors for their corresponding targets. Allosteric rearrangement of mRNA structure is mediated by ligand binding, and this results in modulation of gene expression. The record is from RNAcentral.
AAUAGAGGCGCGGCUGACAAAAGUAGCGUGCGGGAGCCCGGCCGGGGCUGCGAACGCAGGCGAAAGGGGACGCCGCCGAAACGCAUUUGCCGCGGCAGGGCGCCUGCGUUGGGCAAGGGGAGAAUAUCCGCUUGACUGUCAUGGUUCCAGGCCAUGGAGCGCUAUU